Molecule: long non-coding RNA, 548 nt
Organism: Oncorhynchus tshawytscha (Chinook salmon)
Lineage: Eukaryota; Metazoa; Chordata; Actinopteri; Salmoniformes; Salmonidae
Exons: 4
Source: RefSeq, a predicted model, not a curated record
AAAACAGUUUUCAAAGAAUUUACUAGAAAUGGGAAAUGACCUGGCAAGCCUGUCUCUGCCUGAGCAUGAACACAACAAAAGUAGCUGUGCAGCACGUUUUUUAAGGAAGAGGAGGAUGGUUGCAGACGUUCGCAUUCAUGCAAGAAGAUGUCAGGCUGCCAAUACCUUUGGGUCGAUAGUCCAUGUGUUGGAUGAUGCACUGCCAUUGAUCAGAACAGGCCGUGUAUAUUACAGUUGACCAAAGCUAUACUUGGAUACAAGACUGAUGACUCAAUAACCAGUAUUGACAACAGUGAAGAUGGUUAUGUCCCAAGGCCAUCAGGAUCAUAAGAGGAAGGCAAUUUCUAUGAAGAAAAUCUGACCGGAGACAUGUCAGCGAUUCGGGCCAAACAGCCAAUAACCAAGGGAAAGGUGGGACAAAAGAGGCUCACACGUUAAGCAUGUUUCCUGCUUCCUUCAGUCAGUUCAUUUUCACUCUGUAGUCAAAUCAAAUGUUAUUGGUCACAUACACAUGGUUAGCAGAUGUUUAUGCGAGUGUAGCAAAAUGC